GACGAACGCUGGCGGCGUGCUUAACACAUGCAAGUCGAACGAAGAGCGAUGGAAGCUUGCUUCUAUCAAUCUUAGUGGCGAACGGGUGAGUAACGCGUAAUCAACCUGCCCUUCAGAGGGGGACAACAGUUGGAAACGACUGCUAAUACCGCAUACGAUCUAACCUCGGCAUCGAGGGUAGAUGAAAGGUGGCCUCUACAUGUAAGCUAUCACUGAAGGAGGGGAUUGCGUCUGAUUAGCUAGUUGGAGGGGUAACGGCCCACCAAGGCGAUGAUCAGUAGCCGGUCUGAGAGGAUGAACGGCCACAUUGGGACUGAGAAAGGGCCCAGACUCCUGCGGGAGGCAGCAGUGGGGAAUCUUCCGCAAUGGACGAAAUUCUGACGGAGCAACGCCGCGGGAGUGAUGACGGCUUUCGGGUUUUAAAGCUCUUUUAAUCGGGACGAAAGGCCUUCUUGGAAAAAGUUAAAAGGAUUGACGGUACCGGAAUAAAAAGCCAGGGUAAACUACGG
RNAcentral lists this ribosomal RNA (509 nucleotides) under uncultured bacterium. RNAcentral's name for it is "partial 16S ribosomal RNA". It matches the Rfam family "Bacterial small subunit ribosomal RNA", at positions 28 to 506 of the family's 1533-position model. The record is from RNAcentral.